GAUGAACGCUGGCGGCGUGCCUAAUACAUGCAAGUCGAGCGAACAGACGAGGAGCUUGCUCCUCUGACGUUAGCGGCGGACGGGUGAGUAACACGUGGAUAACCUACCUAUAAGACUGGGAUAACUUCGGGAAACCGGAGCUAAUACCGGAUAAUAUAUUGAACCGCAUGGUUCAAUAGUGAAAGACGGUUUUGCUGUCACUUAUAGAUGGAUCCGCGCCGCAUUAGCUAGUUGGUAAGGUAACGGCUUACCAAGGCGACGAUGCGUAGCCGACCUGAGAGGGGGAACGCACAAGCAGGAAGUGGAGAGCAGGCCACACACCUACGGGAAGGAGCAGAAGGGUAGGUAGCGCAAUAGGCGAGAGCCUAACGGAGCAACGCCGCGCAAGGGAAGAAGUGAUGCGGAUCGAAAUAAUCAGUUAUCGGGGAAGAAGAGAUGUGGAAGUAACUAUGGACGUCUUGACGGUAAGGAGUCAGAAAGCGACGGCAAACUACGUG
Molecule: ribosomal RNA, 497 nt
Filed under: uncultured bacterium
Lineage: Bacteria
Description: partial 16S ribosomal RNA
Rfam family: Bacterial small subunit ribosomal RNA
Source: RNAcentral